This 468-nucleotide ribosomal RNA is filed under the name uncultured bacterium. RNAcentral's name for it is "partial 16S ribosomal RNA". It matches the Rfam family "Bacterial small subunit ribosomal RNA", at positions 28 to 507 of the family's 1533-position model. The record is from RNAcentral.
GACGAACGCUGGCGGCGUGCUUAACACAUGCAAGUCGAACGGAAAGGCCCUGCUUUUGUGGGGUGCUCGAGUGGCGAACGGGUGAGUAACACGUGAGUAACCUGCCCUUGACUUUGGGAUAACUUCAGGAAACUGGGGCUAAUACCGGAUAGGAGCUCCUGCUGCAUGGUGGGGGUUGGAAAGUUUCGGCGGUUGGGGAUGGACUCGCGGCUUAUCAGCUUGUUGGUGGGGUAGUGGCUUACCAAGGCUUUGACGGGUAGCCGGCCUGAGAGGGUGGCCGGCCACAUUGGGACUGAGAUACGGCCCAGACUCCUACGGGAGGCAGCAGUGGGGAAUAUUGCACAAUGGGCGGAAGCCUGAUGCAGCAACGCCGCGUGCGGGAUGACGGCCUUCGGGUUGUAAACCGCUUUCGCCUGAGACGAAGCGUGAGUGACGGUAAUGGGUAAAGAAGCACCGGCUAACUACGUG